CAACAGGAGCUACAGCAGCAGUGGUUCCAAGCUCAACUUGCACAACAGAAUGCAAUACUGCAGCAAAUAGCGAGCCAACAGAAUAUACAAGUGCCACCACUGGUACCUCCACCUUUUGCACAGGCCGGUUGGCCAUCAGCUUCACCUCAGCCUUUUCACACCCCACCACCUAACCUUGCGGCACCGGGAGACUCACACGUUGAUCCAACAUCGAAUUGGGCGGAUCAAUUCAUUGGAAGUGGCGGAUCAGUUCAACCAGGUGAUGGAGGCG
Panicum hallii is the source of this 271-nucleotide long non-coding RNA. RefSeq lists it as uncharacterized. The transcript has 3 exons. The record is from RefSeq and is a predicted model, not a curated record. NCBI's taxonomy places the organism in Eukaryota, Viridiplantae, Streptophyta, Magnoliopsida, Poales, Poaceae.